AAUAUUGGACAAUGGGGGCAACCCUGAUCCAGCCAUGCCGCGUGUGUGAAGAAGGUCUUCGGAUUGUAAAGCACUUUAAGUUGGGAGGAAGGGCAGUCAGUUAAUACCUUGCUGUUUUGACGUUACUGACAGAAUAAGCACCGGCUAACUUCGUGCCAGCAGUCGCGGUAAUACGAAGGGUGCAAGCGUUAAUCGGAAUUACUGGGCGUAAUGCGCGCGUAGGUGGUUUGUUAAGUUGGAAGUGAAAGCCCCGGGCUAAACCUGGGAACUGCUUUCAUAACUGCUGAGCUAGAGUACGGUGGAGGGUAGUGGAAUUUCCUGUGUAGCGGUGAAAUGCGUAGAUAUAGGAAGGAACAUCAGUGGCGAAGGCGACCACCUGGGCUAAUACUACCACUGAGGUGCGAAAGCGUGGGGAGCAAAC
Molecule: ribosomal RNA, 421 nt
Filed under: uncultured bacterium
Lineage: Bacteria
Description: partial 16S ribosomal RNA
Rfam family: Bacterial small subunit ribosomal RNA
Source: RNAcentral